AACGAACGCUGGCGGCGUGGAUAAGACAUGCAAGUCGAGCGCUCUUGUAGCAAUACUGGGGAGCGGCGAACGGGUGAGUAACACGUGAAUAAUCUGCCGAAAAGUUGGGGAUAGCCUUCCGAAAGGAAGAUUAAUACCGAAUGUGGCCAAGGAAUGCAUUUUCCUGAAGCUAAAGCCGUGAGGCGCUUUUUGAGGGGUUC
RNAcentral lists this ribosomal RNA (200 nucleotides) under uncultured bacterium. Its description in RNAcentral is "partial 16S ribosomal RNA". It matches the Rfam family "Bacterial small subunit ribosomal RNA", at positions 29 to 232 of the family's 1533-position model. The record is from RNAcentral.